UGUUAAAAUUUUUAUUUAUUUGUAUUAUUAAAAAUUGGUAUGAUUGAUGGAAUAAUCAAAUAGUGAUAUAUGUCUUACUACGUGUACCUUAUGCUAACAUAAAAAGGAUAAUUUUUUAUAAUAAAAAUAGAUAAUUUUUUUAACA
Gossypium hirsutum (cotton) is the source of this 145-nucleotide non-coding RNA. The record is from Rfam. NCBI's taxonomy places the organism in Eukaryota, Viridiplantae, Streptophyta, Magnoliopsida, Malvales, Malvaceae.